GACGAACGCUGGCGGCGCGCUUAACACAUGCAAGUCGAACGGAAAGGCCUGCUUUCCCUUGUGGAUUGCGGGUACUCGAGUGGCGAACGGGUGAGUAACACGUGAGUGAUCUGCCCCCAACUUGGGUAUAAGCCUGGGAAACUGGGUCUAAUUCCCGAUAGGACUGCAGGGUGGUGCCUGUGGUGGAAAACGAUUUUCUAGUGGUUGGGGAUGAGCUCGCGGCCUAUCAGCUUGUUGGUGGGGUAAUGGCCUACCAAGGCGGCGACGGGUAGCCGGCCUGAGAGGGUGGACGGCCACAUUGGGACUGAGAUACGGCACAGACUCCGACGGGAGGCAGCAGUGGGGAAUAUUGCACAAUGGGCGGAAGCCUGAUGCAGCGACGCCGCGUGGGGGAUGACGGCCUUCGGGUUGUAAACUCCUUUCGACCGCGAGGAAGCCACCUGGUUGGAAGGGUGGUGACGGUAGUGGUAGAAGAAGCACCGGCUAACUACGUG
RNAcentral lists this ribosomal RNA (494 nucleotides) under uncultured bacterium. RNAcentral's name for it is "partial 16S ribosomal RNA". It matches the Rfam family "Bacterial small subunit ribosomal RNA", at positions 28 to 507 of the family's 1533-position model. The record is from RNAcentral.